This 402-nucleotide ribosomal RNA is filed under the name uncultured bacterium. RNAcentral describes it as "bacterial SSU rRNA". It matches the Rfam family "Bacterial small subunit ribosomal RNA", at positions 355 to 774 of the family's 1533-position model. The record is from RNAcentral.
UGGGGAAUAUUGGACAAUGGGCGUAAGCCUGAUCCAGCCAUGCCGCGUGAGUGAUGAAGGCCUUAGGGUUGUAAAGCUCUUUUAGCGGGGAAGAUAAUGACGGUACCCGCAGAAAAAGCCCCGGCUAACUUCGUGCCAGCAGCCGCGGUAAUACGAAGGGGGCUAGCGUUGCUCGGAAUUACUGGGCGUAAAGCGCACGUAGGCGGACUCUUAAGUCGGUGGUGAAAUCCUGGAGCUCAACUCCAGAACUGCCUUCGAUACUGGGAGUCUUGAGUUCGGGAGAGGUGAGUGGAACUGCGAGUGUAGAGGUGAAAUUCGUAGAUAUUCGCAAGAACACCAGUGGCGAAGGCGGCUCACUGGCCCGAUACUGACGCCGAGGUGCGAAAGCGUGGGGAGCAAACA